This is a non-coding RNA of Macaca mulatta (Rhesus monkey), 942 nucleotides long. The record is from RefSeq and is a predicted model, not a curated record. Lineage: Eukaryota; Metazoa; Chordata; Mammalia; Primates; Cercopithecidae.
UACAUUUUUUAAAAUAAUGUGGCCAUUAUUUUUUUUUCUUAUUUUCAGCUGACUGAAGCUGACAACAAAUUUUCAGCCGAUAAGUAGAGUGAAGACUCUCAAACACUGUAAUGCGCAUGCCUACACUCUUAGACAUUAGGGGAAUCUCAAGAAGAAUUUGAGGAGGGAAAAACAAUAUGGGUCAGGAUGCUGAUGUCUUUCAACUCUCCAUGAAUUAAGGAAGCUACAUUAACAUGACAGUUGUUUUUGAAAAUGCAUUGGCGCCGUAUUUGAGAAGAGGAAAUCGGACCCAUGGUCUCUAAAGGACUUCUCAGCAACAAUGGCCUAAGCAUCUUUGAGAAAAGGCUAUGUCUGUGUGUACAACUGACCUGACUGACGUGCACAUCAGUUCUCCUAACCACCAUCCGGUCUGAUAAAGCAAAGGCAACAGAGUUGCUAAAAAUGAUAGCGGGUAAAAGUCUCCAAGGAGAGUUUGAGGCCAGAACUUGGAUUGGGCAAAUUCCUCCUGAUCACACCACACUACGUUGAAGACGAGAUAGAGAACAGGAAUGGAGAAUUCAAGUGACUCACCAAAGUCACACAGCAAUUUUAAGUGUUGAAAAUGCAACCCAGAUCCAACUCCAAUUUUGCAGGUCUCCUUAUCUAUGUUCUGCCUUUCAGAAUCAGGAAUAGUCCCUAUUGACUCUCAGUAAAAGUGGUGAAAAUGCUAAAAUACAAGGUCCUUAAUGUAGAUUUGAGAUUUUCUAAAUAAGUUACUUUUUUUUUUAGAAAUAAUUUGACAAAAGUGACAUUCAUUUCUUUCAACAGACGUUGAGUGCUUAUUAUAUGUCCCUGGGUCUGAAUAUUUUAUGUGUAGUUAUUUAAAGUAGUGAAUAAACAGAAGCAAAUAUAGAUUACCAAUUUACAGAACGUAAUGUGUUUGUUAAUGGGUGUACCUCUAAA